GCUUUUAAAGGAAAAUCAGUCUUUCCCCUGGUUUUAGGGUCCAGUAUUUCUUGGUGCAAAUCCAAGUGAAAGCU
Molecule: transfer RNA, 74 nt
Filed under: Anomaloglossus degranvillei (Degranville's rocket frog)
Lineage: Eukaryota; Metazoa; Chordata; Amphibia; Anura; Aromobatidae
Description: tRNA-Leu
Source: RNAcentral